CUGUACCUGUUACCUGUCUCUAUAGUAUCUUCGGUAAGAAAACGCAAAAACAUCCUGUUAUCUAUCCUUCCUUUUCUUUUUCAAAACAGAAAGAAAACCAGAGAGUGCAGGGGCGGUUCUUUAGACCGACCGCUAACAUUAUAGGUAUGUCAUGCAUUUGACUUCAUUUAGGUUGGUUACACAAACGCUGGAAAGAGUACACUACUUCUGAAUCAAUUAACAGGAGCAGAUUGUUUGCUGAAGAUCGGCUAUUUGAGACACUGGGUCCAGCUAUAAAAAGGGUUUAGGUCAGUCCAACAAGUUAGGAAAAGAAAAGUCUUCGUUACAACUUGCUUAGGGCUUGCAUAAUUAUGUUCUUGCAGAACCAAACAAUUAUUGAUUUCCAAUUUGUACUGUAGACUUUUUGCGUUUAUGAAACCAAAACGUUUGUGGCAACCUGGCUUACAGAAGCUGGCAGCAUUUACUCACACGAGAUGCUCGUGUUGUUUGGUUUCUUCCAGAUGAAGAACGGGAAUGUUUUUUCCCUGUGGAAUCUUUUCCAAUGGUUUUUCACUUGAAACAACUAGAUAACUUUUGGUUCUUGCAAUGUUAACUCUGUAUUGAUAACAUCAUGGCCACUGCUGCUUAUGGCAUCUUGACAGGGUCAGUGAUGUGAAAAAACUAAAAAUGGAAGCAGAGAGAAAACAAGAUGUUGUUUGCGUGUCUGCUAUGAAUGGCGAUGGGUUACAAGAAUUCUGCAAUUCAGUUCGGGAAAAACUGAAGGAUUCUAUGGUAUGGGUAGAAGCUUUGUUUCCAUUUGACAAAGGGAAGCCUCUCAAGAUCAUACAUCAGGUUCGAAUGGUAGAGAGAACUGUGAGUAUGUUCUAGAUUGUUUUCAUUUUCUUCUACGGAGAACUGAUCCUCUUAUUUUUUAUUUUUGUCGUAAAUUUUUCUUUCUACUCAUUUGAUUAGGAAAGUGGGACAUUGAUCAAGGCUCACGUCCCCCUUCGUUUUGCAAGGUUGCUAACUCCUAUGAGACAGUUGUGUAAAUCAUAACUCUUUAGCGUAUUUGAUGCUCUUGUAGAACUGCAAGUACUAUCCAUGCCAUUCAUUAAUUGUCAUGUACGUAUGAAUCAUCUGACAGUCAUUUCUUUCCUGUUUCUAUGGGGGAGAGACCACCAAUUUUUUUAAAUGGCCUUUCUUUUACACUUCAUCCUCUCAAUGAAGGCUUCUAGCACAGGAUACUAUCACGAAAGUUUCAGUAUCUUCCCAAGUGUAACAAAUUUGGAAAAGGACUGUGGUUUUCUGUUUCGGCAUGAAUGUUUAACCACUGUCAUUGCUGAAGUAACAGCUCAUGUAAUUUGAGCUGACCUUUCGUCAAGCAGCGGUGGCGUAUAGGAAGAGUUCUACUUGUUGACAUCUGAAAUUGUCAAGGUUUUUAUGAUUUGUAGUCGGCAAGUGCUGAUGUCUGUUGUACCAUACAAACUAUCAAGGGUAACAAAUCGUGAUGAUCGAAGAGAGCAGUGUGCUUCUUUGUGUUAUGAAUUCGACAUUGCAAGACAAGCAUGUGCAAUAUUUAGCUAACGGAGAGGACCCAGUAAAUUUUGCACGUAAGCCAUGUUGGGCUGCUGCCUUAAUGAGUAGUAUUGCAACUCCAAAAUGGAAAUCUGCGUCUCCAUAUCGCUGUAUAAGCUCUCAACUCAUGGGCUAAGCAUACAAGUAGAACGUGCUGGAUGACUUGGACAUGCCGUGAGAAAAGAUUAAAAUGUUAUUAUCAAGGGGUGCUGCGUCUGAAAGGGUCAAAACGUUGUAGAUUGUAGUUCUAUAAAGCACAAGCUAAUCCACUAAUAGUAAUUUUUUAAUUAGUCAUCUUACUAAUAUUUGAUGAGCUUUGAGGAUUUGAGAUCCCUGUGGUUGUCAUUUUUCUGGAAUGGACUAAUGGUAUUUCUGUAACCCAAUUACCCAAGGGCCAGCCGCCAGGGACAUAGCCAUGCCCAUGAGCGCUUGAGCAUAAUAGCCGAAAGGAAAUUCCUCUUAUAUCAUUGGCUUUCUGUAAA
Populus trichocarpa (black cottonwood) is the source of this 2036-nucleotide long non-coding RNA. RefSeq lists it as uncharacterized. The record is from RefSeq and is a predicted model, not a curated record. Lineage: Eukaryota; Viridiplantae; Streptophyta; Magnoliopsida; Malpighiales; Salicaceae. The transcript has 2 exons.